AUUACAUGACAUUACAUGUAGCGACCACAUGAUGUAUGAUUUAAUGUUCAUAUCGUUCUCAUUUGUCUCAGACGGUCCCAGCUGCUCUCUUACGUGCUUUGGUAUUAUUACAAUAACUCAAGAUAACUUUUUAAAAUCGAUUCUUCGAAAACUGAUGAGACCUUAGAAGAACUGGUAUGGCAAAACAACAGCCAAGAAGCAACAUAAGGAAAAUGCCCACUGUCAACACUUUCACGGAGUUGGAUGUUUGAGUUUCACUGUGCAGAAUGAGGUACUUGCAGACUUUGACACUAGAAGUAUGUUGUCACAUUCAUCUGCUGAAAGUGGAAGGUUUCUCUCUGCUCAUUGAAAAUCAGCAUGAUUUUUACAUCACACAUAGUUUGGAAGUCAAUUCUGGUCAAGUAUGCAACAUAUACAAGUGUGAUGUAGAAACUUGAAGCCACCAGUGCAAAUAGGAGACAUCUUGUGUUCAGCAGGAACACUUCAGAAAACUUGUUUUGCAUAUUCAUAGAUUUUGGAAUUUUUAAUGAAGGACUAGAUGCAUUUUGUAAAGAUUUUAUUGUGGAAAUUAUACAUUUUUUUGCAGAAGAAAUAUAACAGACACACAUUAUUGUUUCAAACAGUCAUGUCUUAAUAUGUACAAUUAAUAAUAUAACAAUGAAUACAAUUAAAUAAGCAUGCGCUCCAUUUACCCUGAAAUGUUUAUCUCUAAUAUGAUGUGAUCUCUGCAUAUAUAUGUACUUCAUUGACUUUUAUAAAUGUAUGU
Long non-coding RNA from Dicentrarchus labrax (European seabass), 766 nucleotides. RefSeq lists it as uncharacterized. The record is from RefSeq and is a predicted model, not a curated record. The transcript is spliced from 3 exons. NCBI's taxonomy places the organism in Eukaryota, Metazoa, Chordata, Actinopteri, Moronidae.